RNAcentral lists this long non-coding RNA (323 nucleotides) under Dermacentor andersoni. RNAcentral describes it as "uncharacterized LOC126544691". The record is from RNAcentral. Lineage: Eukaryota; Metazoa; Arthropoda; Arachnida; Ixodida; Ixodidae.
GGUGGGGGUGGUGGUGGCCCCCCUGCAGGCGCAGGUGGUAUCAAAGGUUAUGGCAGAGGUUUUGGUCGUGCCACGGCUUCCGCAGAGAACGAUGACAAGGAAGAUGAGGACGGCGACAUGGGCUUCUAAGCUAGAACAGCACAGAAACACAAUGGAAAGGAGAGGAAGAGCAACAUUACUACAAGCUAUGGUGUUCCACCUAUUCACAAGCUUCCCACACCACUUGAUCGAUCCCUCGAGUUACGCAGUUAACAAUAAGAUUUGGUUAAGCUCUUACGGACGUAUGCAAUGCCUUAUGUCAAUAAAGAGCGAAAUCCAUCGAA